AAGCCCAAUGCUGAAUGGGUAUGAAGGAAUAUAAGGUUCAUUCAUUCUCCAUCUCCUUCACGUUCGACCGCUUACCAGAAGAAGAGAAAGAAAAACCAGGUUCCGACGAACCUAGCCGCGCCGGCUUUCGCCACCGGCGGCGGCGAUCCCGAUCGGAAGAGCGUCUCACGCCAUCCCCUGCUUCCAUCUCUCCCAACCUAAACGAAAAACACUCUUCCACCUAAACCAAACAAAAUCGCUAACGCGCGACUCUAUGACGGAAUGAAACUACCGGCGAAUGAAAAAUGGAAGUGUACUCAAUCACGAUUCAUACCACAUCAAAAGGAUUGAUUAACACGAAGAGAUUAGGUUCUUACCGACGAUGACAACGGUGGAUCAAAGCUCAGGAAUUGGUAAGGUGCGGCGAUGUAAUGAGUUGAAUCGCGGUGUGCAGAGUUGUUGGAAUUGGUAUGUCGAGUUUCGGUUCGAUUUGCAGAGUUGUAUGGUGAUGCAUGGUGAGUUGAAGUUGAUUGAAUUGUGUUGAUGAAUGGUUCAAUCAAGAAUGGUCCGUUUGUUCUGCAGGAAUUGGAAACAAGGCGAUGAAGAUGGUGAUGUGAGGCGCGGGAAGAAGUUCGAAGAAGAAUUUGUGAGUUUGAUGAUGAUUUUGGAAAAAGAGAGAAGAAGUUUGUUAGCAGAAAAGAGGGGGAAGAAAGUUCAAAGCUAGCUCAUUGAUUUAUAUAGAAUUCUUGUAUUGGAUGAGUUUGAAUAUGGAUGCUGUAGUCUGCGUUUUAUUCAUUCCGCGCUUUGGGUUCUGCGUUUUGGUUUUCAUGCAUUGCAUUUCAUAAUGUCGUUUGGUGCGUAUUGCUUUGGUGCACAUGCGUUUUUAGUUUCUUCCGGUUUUCCUGUGUUUUGAAUUUGUUCUGUAUUGUGCUGCACUUCUGCGUUUCAUGUUGCACAUGCCAAUUUCCCUUGCAUUUCCAUCUUUUCUUAUUUGGAAUAUUACUUGGACUAUGUAAUGGAUAUUGGAUAUGCGGAUAUUUGGAUA
Lathyrus oleraceus (garden pea) is the source of this 1024-nucleotide long non-coding RNA. RefSeq lists it as uncharacterized. Lineage: Eukaryota; Viridiplantae; Streptophyta; Magnoliopsida; Fabales; Fabaceae. The record is from RefSeq and is a predicted model, not a curated record. The transcript has 2 exons.